Molecule: ribosomal RNA, 253 nt
Filed under: uncultured bacterium
Lineage: Bacteria
Description: partial 16S ribosomal RNA
Rfam family: Bacterial small subunit ribosomal RNA
Source: RNAcentral
GACGUAGGGCGCGAGCGUUGUCCGGAUUUAUUGGGCGUAAAGAGCUCGUAGGCGGCUUGUCGCGUCGUCCGUGAAAACCUGGGGCUCAACCCCAGGCUUGCGGUCGAUACGGGCAGGCUCGAGUUCGGUAGGGGAGACUGGAAUUCCUGGUGUAGCGGUGAAAUGCGCAGAUAUCAGGAGGAACACCAGUAGCGAAGGCGGCACUCUGGGCCGGUACUGACGCUGAGGAGCGAAAGCGUGGGGAGCGAACAGG